RNAcentral lists this ribosomal RNA (511 nucleotides) under Fusarium sp. N XZ-2010. RNAcentral's name for it is "eukaryotic LSU rRNA". The stretch from base 144 to 297 matches the Rfam family "5.8S ribosomal RNA". The record is from RNAcentral. Lineage: Eukaryota; Fungi; Ascomycota; Sordariomycetes; Hypocreales; Nectriaceae.
AGUUACACUCCCAAACCCCUGUGAACAUACCACUUGUUGCCUCGGCGGAUCAGCCCGCUCCCGGUAAAACGGGACGGCCCGCCAGAGGACCCCUAAACUCUGUUUCUAUAUGUAACUUCUGAGUAAAACCAUAAAUAAAUCAAAACUUUCAACAACGGAUCUCUUGGUUCUGGCAUCGAUGAAGAACGCAGCAAAAUGCGAUAAGUAAUGUGAAUUGCAGAAUUCAGUGAAUCAUCGAAUCUUUGAACGCACAUUGCGCCCGCCAGUAUUCUGGCGGGCAUGCCUGUUCGAGCGUCAUUUCAACCCUCAAGCACAGCUUGGUGUUGGGACUCGCGUUAAUUCGCGUUCCCCAAAUUGAUUGGCGGUCACGUCGAGCUUCCAUAGCGUAGUAGUAAAACCCUCGUUACUGGUAAUCGUCGCGGCCACGCCGUUAAACCCCAACUUCUGAAUGUUGACCUCGGAUCAGGUAGGAAUACCCGCUGAACUUAAGCAUAUCAAUAAGCGGAGGAAA